RNAcentral lists this unclassified non-coding RNA (355 nucleotides) under soil metagenome. RNAcentral describes it as "partial contains 5.8S ribosomal RNA, internal transcribed spacer 2, and large subunit ribosomal RNA". The stretch from base 1 to 120 matches the Rfam family "5.8S ribosomal RNA", at positions 35 to 154 of the family's 154-position model. The record is from RNAcentral.
GAUGAAGAACGUAGCGAAAUGCGAUAAGUAGUGUGAAUUGCAGAAUUCAGUGAAUCAUCGAAUCUUUGAACGCACAUUGCGCCCCUUGGUAUCCCGAGGGGCAUGCCUGUUCGAGCGUCAUUAAGUCCACUUAAGCCCUGCUUAGUGUUGGGAGACUGCUCCAGCGGUGCUACCCUGUAGCUACCCUGCAGCUCCUCAAAGACAGCGGCGGAGUUGUGGUAUCCUCUGAGCUUAGUAACUUGUUCUAGCUUUCGAGUACACCACUUCCCCUGCCGUAAAACCCUUAAUUUUUAAUGGUUGACCUCGGAUCAGGUAGGAAUACCCGCUGAACUUAAGCAUAUCAAUAAGCGGAGGA